RNAcentral lists this ribosomal RNA (301 nucleotides) under uncultured bacterium. RNAcentral's name for it is "partial 16S ribosomal RNA". It matches the Rfam family "Bacterial small subunit ribosomal RNA", at positions 509 to 807 of the family's 1533-position model. The record is from RNAcentral.
CAGUCGCCGCGGGAACACGUAGGGUGCGAGCGUUAAUCGGAAUUACUGGGCGUAAAGCGCGCGCAGGCGGUUAUAUAAGACAGAUGUGAAAUCCCCGGGCUCAACCUGGGACCUGCAUUUGUGACUGUAUAGCUAGAGUACGGUAGAGGGGGAUGGAAUUCCGCGUGUAGCAGUGAAGUGCGUAGAUAUGCGGAGGAACAUCGAUGGGGAAGGCAAUCCCCUGGACCUGUACUGACGCUCAUGCACGAAAGCGUGGGGAGCAAACAGGAUUAGAUACCCGCGUAGUCCCUGUCUCUUAUAC